RNAcentral lists this ribosomal RNA (119 nucleotides) under Cronobacter sakazakii ATCC BAA-894. The record is from RNAcentral. Lineage: Bacteria; Pseudomonadati; Pseudomonadota; Gammaproteobacteria; Enterobacterales; Enterobacteriaceae. RNAcentral also lists the same sequence under 4 other names.
GCCUGGCGGCUGUAGCGCGGUGGUCCCACCUGACCCCAUGCCGAACUCAGAAGUGAAACGCCGUAGCGCCGAUGGUAGUGUGGGGCCUCCCCAUGCGAGAGUAGGGAACUGCCAGGCAU